This is a non-coding RNA of Gallus gallus (chicken), 283 nucleotides long. The record is from Rfam. NCBI's taxonomy places the organism in Eukaryota, Metazoa, Chordata, Aves, Galliformes, Phasianidae.
UGGCCUCUUCCCCUUCACAGGAAUUUCAGUUGGGUCAUAUAGAACUCUCUCUUAGUCAGUGGAAUACCCCAAUUUUUGUUAUACAGAAGCGCUCUGGCGCCUUCCGCCUGCUGCACGACUCGCGCGCGGUCAAUGCCCAACUUGUGCCCUUUGGGGCAGUGCAGCAGAGCGGACCAGUACUGUCAGCCACACCCAAGGAAUGGCCGUUGGUGGUAAUAGAUCUUAAAGACUGCUUUUUCUCCAUUCCCCUUGUGGAAGAAGAUCAGGAGGCGUCUGCCUUUAC